GUACGGGAUUUCAUUCUUCGGAAUGAAUGAGAGUGGCGCACGGGUGCGUAACGCGUAUGCAACCUACCUGUUACAGGGAGAUAGCCCGGGGAAACUCGGAUUAAUAUCCCAUAGUAUUGUUUUACUGCAUGGUAGAAUGAUUAAAGCCUUCGGGUGGUAACAGACGGGCAUGCGUAGGAUUAGCUAGUUGGUGAGGUAACGGCUCACCAAGGCGACGAUCCUUAGGGGUUCUGAGAGGAAGGUCCCCCACACUGGCACUGAGAUACGGGCCAGACUCCUACGGGAGGCAGCAGUAGGGAAUAUUGGUCAAUGGGCGAGAGCCUGAACCAGCCAUGCCGCGUGCAGGAAGACGGCGUUCUGCGUUGUAAACUGCUUUUAUCUGGGAAGAAAAAGCCCUUGCGAGGGAAAUUGCCGGUACCAGAGGAAUAAGCACCGGCUAAYUCCGUGCCAGCAGCCGCGSUAAUACGGAGGGUGCAAGCGUUGUCCGGAUUUAUUGGGUUUAAAGGGUGCGURGGCGGCCGAUUAAGUCWGUGGUGAAAGUUUCCGGCUCAACCGGGAGACUGCCAUUGAUACUGGUUGGCUUGAGUUAUGGAGGGGUACAUGGAAUUUAUGGUGUAGCGGUGAAAUGCAUAGAUACCAURRGGAACACCGAUAGCGAAGSCAUUGUACUGSCCAUAAACUGACGCUGAGGCACGAAAGCGUGGGUAGCGAACAGGAUUAGAUACCCUGGUAGYCACGCCGUAACGAUGAUCACUCGCUUUAAAGUACGUAGUASUGUGAGGCCAAGCGAAAGCGUUAAGUGAUCCACCUGGGGG
Molecule: ribosomal RNA, 815 nt
Filed under: Cyclobacterium qasimii
Lineage: Bacteria; Pseudomonadati; Bacteroidota; Cytophagia; Cytophagales; Cyclobacteriaceae
Description: bacterial SSU rRNA
Source: RNAcentral